This 408-nucleotide ribosomal RNA is filed under the name uncultured bacterium. RNAcentral describes it as "partial 16S ribosomal RNA". It matches the Rfam family "Bacterial small subunit ribosomal RNA", at positions 28 to 526 of the family's 1533-position model. The record is from RNAcentral.
GUCGAACGCUGGCGGCGUGCUUAACACAUGCAAGUCGACAUGAGUGGCGAACGGGUGAGUAAUACGUGGGUAACCUGCCCUCCUUUUUGGGAUAAGCCUUGGAUAUGGGGUCUAUUAUCGUAUCUUGGGGGUUUGGCUCGUGGCUUAUCAGGUUGUUGGUGGGGUGAUGGCGUACCAAGGCGGUGACGGGUAGCCGGCGUGAGAGGGUGACCGGGCACAUAGGGACGGCGAGACGGCCCAGGGUCCUAAGGGAGGCGGAAGUGUGGGAUAUUGGACAAUGGGCGAAAGCCUGAUGCAGCGAGGCCGCGUGGGGGAUUAAGGCUUUCGAGUUGUAAAACUCUUGAGCUAGCGAACGGGUAGGUGGAGAAGAAGCGCCGGCUAACUACGUGCCAGCAGCCGCGGUAAUUC